Papaver somniferum (opium poppy) is the source of this 860-nucleotide long non-coding RNA. RefSeq lists it as uncharacterized. The record is from RefSeq and is a predicted model, not a curated record. The transcript has 5 exons. NCBI's taxonomy places the organism in Eukaryota, Viridiplantae, Streptophyta, Magnoliopsida, Ranunculales, Papaveraceae.
CCAAUAUUCAAAAUACAUUAAACUCCCUCCAACUCACUCGUCGACUUAACCCCCUGUUAAUUUUUUAGAACAGGCUAUAUCUUUUCUGACCGCCACCGUUCUUCUGAAUUAUCUCUCCUGAAACUGCAUGCAAACCCUUUUCUCGAUUCUAUCUUUUGAGUUCCCGAGCUUACCGUUCCAUUGAUAGGUUAAUGAACUUCCUCUGAGCAAUUCCAUUGAAGCAAAGCUGUUGGGAUAACACGUUGAUGUUUUAGGGUCGAUGUAGAAUCAGAAAGAUGUGCCUCCGUUUAGGAAUAAAUUCCAGUAAUGGCUUCCCAUGAUCCGGCGGUCGGGUAUUCCGGAUGGGUUAGUCAUUGGACGCCUACGAAAGACUCACUGUUUGUUAAAUAUGGGUGUUUGCAAUUUACUUUAUCUUGGUACGCCUUUGGCUUAAAACAGUUCUCACUUGAUUUCGUCUAUGGUGAUUUGGAUAUGCGUAGGAGGAUUCAUUUCAGAUUUUUUGUAAAAAAGUUACAGACUAUACUGUUGCACAAUUGAGGCAUGGUCACUGACCCAUGUUGUUGUGUGACACCAUUUGCAAGCUAAAAGAUAUAGCCACACAAGCGAUAGGCUUAUCAGAUUGGUCGAGGUGAAUCCACUGGACAUGCUGAACUUUAGAUGAAUGCUACCCGUAUAUAGCUUGGAACUUUGGUUUUCUAUAUCUUAUCGUUGUCAAACUCUAGCUAAGACAACGUAGUUCUGUAUAAUUUUCUAAUGUGUUUUGAAAGUUAAAUCACUUCAGCUGGAAAUUUAAGGAACCUUUAGGGCUUUGUAUAUAUGUAUUUAUAUCACAAAAAUAUUUAUGAAUCUUUCUUCCGAUU